This 477-nucleotide ribosomal RNA is filed under the name uncultured Bacillus sp. Its description in RNAcentral is "bacterial SSU rRNA". It matches the Rfam family "Bacterial small subunit ribosomal RNA", at positions 915 to 1382 of the family's 1533-position model. The record is from RNAcentral. Lineage: Bacteria; Bacillati; Bacillota; Bacilli; Caryophanales; Bacillaceae.
AAUUAGAGGGGCCCGCACAAGCGGUGGAGCAUGUGGUUUAAUUUCGACGCAACGCGAAGAACCUUACCAGGGCUUGACAUCCCCUGACCGCGUAUGAAAGUACGUUUUCACCUCGGGUGACAGGGAGACAGGUGGUGCAUGGUUGUCGUCAGCUCGUGUCGUGAGAUGUUGGGUUUAAGUCCCGCAACGAGCGCAACCCCUACGUUUAGUUGCUAACGCGUGAAGGCGAGCACUCUAGACGAACUGCCGUUGACAAAACGGAGGAAGGUGGGGAUGACGUCAAAUCAUCAUGCCCCUUAUGUUCUGGGCUACACACGUGCUACAAUGGCCGGUACAGACGGACGCAAAGCCGCGAGGUGGAGCAAAUCCUAAAAAGCCGGUCUCAGUUCGGAUUGCAGGCUGCAAUUCGCCUGCAUGAAGUCGGAAUCGCUAGUAAUCGCAGGUCAGCAUACUGCGGUGAAUACGUUCCCGGGCCUU